GGGCGGUUAGCUCAGCGGUAGAGCAUUGCCUUCACACGGCAAGGGUCACAGGUUCGAUUCCUGUACCGCCUACCA
RNAcentral lists this transfer RNA (75 nucleotides) under Stenotrophomonas maltophilia. RNAcentral describes it as "tRNA-Val". It matches the Rfam family "tRNA". From Rfam's summary of the family: Transfer RNA (tRNA) molecules are approximately 80 nucleotides in length. Their secondary structure includes four short double-helical elements and three loops (D, anti-codon, and T loops). The record is from RNAcentral. Lineage: Bacteria; Pseudomonadati; Pseudomonadota; Gammaproteobacteria; Lysobacterales; Lysobacteraceae.